GUUUGAUAUUUGUCUAAACAAUGAUCCAUCCAAACAAUAAUAUAUUAUGUAAUGAUUACGUUGAUAAUUACCACAUACCUUCCAAAUCGUAGUUUUCAAGAACUGAAAAAAUUCCGAAAUUUUGAAGAAUAUCUAACUAGAGCUCAACAGUUCCUGGUGAUAUUGAUCACCUUAGGGCUUAAUGGGUUCCCUUAGAAUUCAAUUGUGUGAAAUGGGGUUUCUGAAAGAAGUUCAAAUUUCAAGAAGACAACUCAACUGUUUUUUUUCAAAGAAGAAUGUGAAAACUGUGUGUGGGUUGAGAAAUGGACCAAGAAAACCUAUGUGGAGGUCAAGGGUUUUGUCCUCAGAGGCAAUACAAGCUGUACAGUCUGUGAAAUUAGCAAAAUCAGCUGACAAAUUAGAGGAGAUGUUGAAAAACAAACUUAGUAGGUUAUUGAAGGCUGAUGUAUUAGACACCUUGAAUGAAUUGCAAAGGCAAAAUGAAGUUCACUUGGCUCUAAAGGAACGAGGAGUGGUACACACCAGAUUUAUCUGUGUUCAACAGUAUGAUAAUGAUGCUGGGCAAAAACAAAUUCAUUGAAAUGGCUGAACAACUAUUUGUGCACAUGAUAAAAGAAGGUCUGCAUCCAGAUAGUAGAACCUACACUGAGCUGAUUGGGGCAUACUUUAGAGUAGAUCUCAUAGAGAAGGCAAUGGAAAUGUAUGAACUGAUGAAGAUAUCUGGAUUCUGCCCGGAUAAGUUGACUAUGAGUAUUUUGAUAAGGAACCUUGAAAAGGCUGAAGAGAAAGAACUUGUGGUUAGAGUAAAGAAUGAAUGUGCCAACUAUAUUGACUAUCCAGAGAAAUUUCUAAAAGAAAUUGAAAGUACCAAUGUAAGUUGAUUCCUGACUAUUUAAUAUGUUCUUUUUAUUAGCACUAUAAGUCUUGAUCUGGGACAAUUCUCAAGUUUUUUUUUAAUUCCUAUUGAUAAAAAUAUUUUUUAAUUUCUUAUGUCAUGCUGAAAUCCACGUUCAUUUAUAAACACACUAUCACCACAUGAAAAAGAGGGGGAGGGGGUAGCAUUAUGUGGCCAAUGUUAUCCCAUACAUGAUUCUUCUGGUAGAUGAAACUUAGGAUAAGGUCCAAACAAAAAUUGAAAUUGACUGGUAACCCUUGAGAGUUCUCAUUUUGAUUAGGCUGGAUGUUAUUCACUAAGAUAUGUGGCUAGAGGCCCUUAGUUGCACGGGCUCUCCACUUCUGAUGCUGCACACGGACUCUCCACUUUUGAUGCCGCACCUGUGCCGGAUUCUCCAAAAUACACUACUUGUGGCGAAUCCGACUCGCACCCGUUGACCUUUUUGAAGAGUCCGAGCAACAUAGGAGGCUGUCAAGUAAAACACUCUUUGCCUCCCAUCUUCCUACAUUGACAAUAAUGUACCUUGCUAUAGGACCUGCAAGUGUGGGUUGAUGAACCACCACUUCUCUAAUGCUACUAUUGCCCCUGAUGAGAUGGAGUGCUAAAAGAGGAAGUACAGCUAACUGGACUGAUCUAGAAGAAUCUUGACUAUGACCACCCCUGCCCUCAUUUAGAGCACUCUUAGUAGGUACAAGAUGGCGAGCCCUCUUCUUAUUUCUCUCAGAAUUCUCAUGAAUCUGCAUUGCAUCUACUCGGGUGGCAACAUCUCAACAUCAUGUACUAUUGUGGCUUUCAAUCACUAACAUAACUCGGAUACGGCAACCUAACUCAUCAACAAGUAGGGAUCAAGUGUAUAGUGAGACAAAUUAGUUAAAAUAGCAUCAUACUCAACCAUAGUCAUACCUCCUUGCUCUAUUUGGUCAAACUAGCACUACCUCUUAUCAUGCUGACUCUAGGUAAUGAACUUCUCCAUGAACAAGGUCAAAAACUCACUCCAAGUGAGCUCACGAGAUCCAGCUGGCCUGCCUCUCUGAUAGGAUACCCACCAAGACUCGGCUAUACCAAAUAGUGGAAAAGUAGUACAGGCUAUUCCAUGCGUGUCUCUAAGACUAAUACCCAUGGUAAAAGGUAUCUUAUUAUGCUUCUUUAUAAACUUCUGAGCCGUAGUAGUGGCUGAAGUGUUAUCAAACUCUGGGAGGAGGAAUUUCAGAAAGACUCCAUCUUCCUCACCAUAUCAUCUCCAACAAUAGUAGAAAGGCCCCUCUCUGCCCAUCUGUAUCAUAGGUUGGGAAGCCAUAAUAGGAACUAGGAUUGGCGUCUCAGUUGCUAGGUUAGGGUGUUAGGCUACUGUUCUAAGGAAUACAGUAGGACUCUGAGCACCAAUAGUAGCAUGUAACAGCUGGUGGCACUGGCAGCUCAAUUGGUCUAGGAGAAUAAGAUUCCAAAACGUUCGAUAUCUCACAUUGUUGCUGGGUCACUCCAAAAAUAUUGAUGCACCUGUGUCGGAUCCUCUAGAAAUGCAUUAUCUUUGGAGGAUUCGACACACGCCCUCCGACAUUUGUAAAGAGUCUGAGCUACAUGGGUCGCACUCUCACAUUCUACACUAACUGGAAGAGGAAUGGCAGGACUAAUUACUGUGAUCUGUACGGGAAUAUCCCGUGCCUUAAGAAUCACAGGCUGUGUUGGUCUAGCUCAACCAACAGUUGGGGGUCUACCUCCGGUAACCUUAGCAGUUGUGGUUCUAGGUUGAGUAGUCUGAGCACUCGAGCUUACUUUCCCUAGGCAUAGCCUGCACUGGUGGUUCCUAAUUUGAUUCUCCAGGGACUAUCUCGUAUUCACCAUAUGUCAUAAAGACAUUCAAGGAUUAGAGCUUACUUCUAAAUCUAUUGCAUGAGACAAAAAGGAAGAAAGAAGGGAAAUUUUCCAAAAUUCCCUUGCAUCCUCAUGUUUAUAGAUAUUGUCAACAACAUAUCUUCUAUAAAUAAGAGUACCAGGACUGCUCCUUGACUUACAAGAAUCUAAAGCCUAAGCACUAAUAACAAGUUCCUCAAGAUCCAAAUCUGUUGGCUAUGAAUGGCACCUUAAGAACCCCUGCCCCCAACCAAACCCCGUCCUUUGCCACCACAACUCAUUUUCAAAGUUGAGCAGAAUAUUUGAAAUGCAAAGUAAUAAAGUCUAACAAUUUUGAUGAAAAGCUACGUAAGUCAUUAAUAUCUUAAAAUAAAAAGUCAAGGAGCGCUGCUUAGACUCUGAUUACAUAGCUUGGGUUACAAUGGGAAAUUAAACAAAAUGAAAUAGCUAGCUUGAAGUGAGCCUUCAGGGUGGCCCAGUGGUUUGGGCUGGGACUUCUAUGUUGGAGGUCUCAAGUUCGAAACCCCUUGCCAGCGAAAUCAAGGGGUUUGACUUCUGGGUCGAGCUCGUCGCACCAGGCUUGCCGUAGGUUACCUAUCCUAUGUGGUUUGCUAGCUAUUGCAUAGGAGCGGGGGUUUUACCCUGUGCGCACCCAAAGGGUAGCAGCUGCAGGCUUCCCUUGUCUUUAAAAAAAAAAACUAGCUUGAAGUGCCAACACUACUGUUGUGGGUUCUCACCUUAGUUGAACUCUGAUACGAGCACUAUAUGUUAAAAUAGCAGUAGGAACAAAAAUAGUAUAUAGAGUUCUACUUGGAAAGGGAUUGAAAUGUUGUGUCCUAGUUGAAAAAGUCUAAUGUAGUAAUGUAGCGUCUAUAAAUAGAGUUUGAAUAUAAUAAUGUAGAGACAAUUCAAUAAUAUUCUUCUCCAAGAUUUCUUAUAUGGUAUCAAAGCCUCUACAAUUCUGUUAGAGAAUAAAAAAGAGCUCCCGUAGUCGGCGGGCGGUUAUAACUCGUAUAGCUGCUCGUAUGGCCACUAAUUAUGUUAGAAAAAGCUGGGUCAAAAUACUAUACGCAUAAAAACAAUCAUGCUUAGAAUGGCUGAUUUUUGAGAAGCAUCUUGGACAGAAAGUAGCACCCUGCUUUUUUCCGGUGGCGUUUUAGAUCUAAUUUGUGUAGAACCAUGCAUCUUUUCGAUUUGCGUAUCACCGUGCAUUUUUUCCGUAACUACUUUGUCAUAUCCGAUUUGCAUAGAGCAUCGGUUAUCUUUUCGGUGACUACUUUCUCAUAUCUGUGUUGCACUGUGUAUCAAUCUGGUGUAGCGCAGUGCAUCUUUUCGGUGAUUACUUCCUCAUAUCUGAUUUGUGUAGUACUGUGCAUCUUUGCGUACUACUUUCUCAAAUCAGUGUUGCGUAGCAUCAUGCGUCUUUUCGGUGACUCAUAUAUGAAUUACGUAAUUUCACUUUUCGUCAGUGUUGUGCAUAAACCAACACAUCUCAGAGGUAAAAUGUCUCCCUGUGACCAAACCACAACCGGCUUCACUGUGGAUCAACCUCCCACGCGCCGCCCAGGAGAUCAUCACCUUCGACAAGAUCUGACCACCCUUCGGUGCGUGAGCUUGUUCUGGACUGCUUUUCGAUGACUUUCUUGUUCAAGAUUUAUCAAUCUCUUGAUUUUGAGAUGACCCAUAUAUUUUAAACCAGUUUCCCUUAGCAUUUUUCUUACAAACAUCUUCACCAAGUGAGGAUUUUCACCAAGUUCCUCACUGCUCCUAUUAAUCACAUCUGUAACAAGCUCAGUAUAUAUGACGUGUAUGCAUCAACUUGAGGGGGAGUGUUAGAAUAAGAGUAUGAAUAUGAAUAGUAUAUAGAAUCGUACUUGAAAAAUGACUGUAAUUUAGUGUCCUAUUUGGAAUAGGAGUCUUAUAUAGCAUCUAUAAAUAGGGUCUCAAUGAAUAAUAUAGAGACAUAAUUCAAUAAUAUUCUUCUCCAAUAUUUCUCACAUUAUCACAGUUGACCAAUAAUCGAACUAGUGGAAGGAUCUACAGAGAACAUAUAAUUAACAAGGGUGAGCCUAAAGCCCAUCAAGAUCAUCAACCCUCUGUGUAAAAUAAUGCAUGGAAGCAACAUCAUAAAAAUAUGUAUUUUCCAGUACUUCAAUGAAACAUCAAGUAGGAUAUGUAGAGAGUAGGUACAAGUUAAUCGCAUUCAGGCGUAGGCCCUCAGGGUCAAGCCCUUUAGACUGAUUAUUUAAAUCUAUGGGCCCUGUGUAUUCCAAAUAAUCUAUUAAACCGAAUCACAUGGUCCUUUAUGGAUACUCGGGAUUUAUUAGACCAACAUACAUAGUCCUCAGGAACUGUAUAACAAUAUCAACUAAAAUCAAUUGGCUUGUACAGCAUAUAAUUCAAGUAAUCUUGUCAUCAGAUAUUGUCAUGUAAGACUAAUCAAACUCAUAUAAUAAUGCCAAAUACCCUUUAGUGAUACAAUUGUUAAAUCUCUAGGAUGCUAUGCUCACUUUAUGCGAAUUUAAGUGAGAGCAAUAUAUAUAGUUGGUCACAAAGGAUAUAUAGGCUAUGACAACGUCGGGAAUAGUGCAAAAGUGUCUUCAGUUAGUUUUGAGAUUCUUAUGUAGCAUAAGGACAAGUGCAGGAUUCAAAAACCCUUUAAUUUAUUGAGUAUUGGAAUAUUAUGUGUUAGAAUAGAAGACAAUAGAUAUAGAUGAUUCGUAUAACUGACCUCAACUCUGUUUUUUUUUAACUUGAUAACUUGGUAUUAUAUCACAACCAGUACAGGGGUUGUACUGAAACCUUAUAUACAUAUGUAAUGCAAAUUUCACUGCCUUGAACCUAAAUUGAGUCUAGAACAUCAACUAUAGAGAGAGUUUCAUUUGAGUAUACCUGGUUACACCAAAAACAUAACAACAUAAUGCAGUUUAGUUUAACCUUUAGCAUGUACUCCUGCAUCCUCCCAGCUCUGAGACUAUCCUGGGCAUGGUGAUGGUUUAGGAAAUACCUUUGAGACUUAGAGAUAUUCUCCAUACCUUAAGAGUGUAAGUGCAGUGUAGAAACAAAUGGUUCACUGUCUCAUAUGUUCCCUUGCAAAGAAAACAUCUUGAGCAUAAGGUUAUCCCUUUCUUCAUCACAUUGUCCUGAGUCAAAGCUGCUUCUUUGGCCAAUAACAGAUGAAACAGGAUAUUUUGUAGGGUAUCCUAUUUUUCCAAAUUUGCUUCCAUGGCCAGUUUAGAUCGUUAUUACUAGGUUGAUCCAUCAUCCUGUAAGUUUUGUUAACUUUGAAUACCCGUUUGUUGUUACCACUCCACCAUAAUAUAUCCUUCCCAAUCUGAAGCCCAUUAAAGGUGUUUACUGCGUUAAGGAAUUCAGCAACUCUCAUAAUUUCCUAGUCAUUUAGCUGCCUCCUAAAGGCAAAGUUCCACCCCUGUCGUGUCUAUAGCUCGCUAUGUAUCUCUGUUGGAACUUGCUACAUUGAAAAUAUCUGGAUAUAAAGCUGCCAAGUUGCCUUUUUCAUGCCAUUCAUCCGUCCAAAAUUUGGUCUUUCUUCCAUUCAUCACUCUUUUCUUUCGAGUGUUCCUCACCUCAUCCCACAAACUGACCUCAACUUAUUGAGGCACAGUUAAUAAUGGUAAACUGCUGCUUCUCUAGUAGAACUUGAAAUUGCCUUGCACAAUAUUUGUACCUUUUGCAGGGGCGUUAGGAACAUGAAGAAUUUGAACAUCUGAUAUUUAGGCAGAUCUUAGAAAGAGCAUUCCUCUUUUUUAUUUCUUUCUUUUAGAUAAGGAGAGAGAGCAGUCCUUAAGGUGGAAAUUUUGUUGUUCAAAGUGAUUUGUCAUAGAAUCCAUCAGUUUGAAUUGGUGAUAAUUAAAGAUUUCUAAUGUGCCUGGAACGUCAUGUUUGGCAGUAAUACUAGUAUCUCAAUUCUAGUUUAACUAUACAGAAUGGACCUCCCUUUUCAUUUGAAAAACAUAUUCUAGUUUAACGAUAGUGAAUGUACCUCUAUUUUUUAUUUGAAAAAUAUUGAAACUUCAUAGUUCAGUAGGUCUCUAGAGGGACCUCCCCUACAAUUCCUUUUUAUGGUGCUGCUAAAUCACAUUAUAUCAACAAAGUGCUAGUUUGUUCCCACUUUACCCUCUAAAUUUGUUUCCCUUAUGAAGCAGUUUUCUAACCACACUCACUCUCCUCCCCUAGCUUGACAUGUUGCACUCCCUAACCAAGCUCCGCCCAGGUUUCUCUCCCUCCCUUUCAGUCCAGUCUUCUCUGCACCAGUCCCCGUAGGGUUGAAUAGUCAGAAAGAGAGGUUUUGGGAAUGACUGAGAGAGGAGGUUCGGGAAUUUCAAUACUUAAAGAGAUUACUGUUUAGUUUUUGUUAAACUAGAUAGAAGUUCCUUGUUUUCUCGUUUGAUGUGCCUUCACCUGAAGUUUGAGAAGUUUGGAAUAACGGUGUGAGAAAUAUAAAUGGAAAUAAAGACCAAGUUGAGCACUCGCCCUACAAAUGUGAAAUACGUAGUGUGCUGCUGCAUCAAUCCAGUAACUUGAAAUUGAAAAUUUCCUUUCAAAAUUGUUACUUUGAUGUACUUUAUCUGAUUGAAGCUGACUUUACUUUCUUUUUCCUGUCCCUAGUUCAAGCGCAGAUCGAUCGACCUUGUCUGAAUUCUUGAAAUGAUAUACAAAAGCUUACGAGUAUUACCCCUUUUGUGGCAUUUGGAGACGUAUAAACUAUUGGAAAGCAAGAGCACGGUAGGCUAUUGUUGAUCCGCAUGUAGUCACUAGUUUGUCAAUACUUGUUUUUAGGUACAUGGAGGCGUAUGAAUGUUUUGUGACUAGCAUUCCUACUCUGUAUAGAAAGGAUUUGUCAGUCUUGAUUCUUUAAAAAGCUACAGAAACACCAACACAAGCAGCAAUGAUUACUAGAGUAAAAAAGAAGGUUGUUGCAAAUGCCUAGUAUGGAGACCAACAACCUCGUGAGUCCAACCAAUAACUUGGCAGACAAUGACUCAAGUAAAUCAUCUUCAGCAUGGCGAGAUGUCGGAAUGGACAAGAACAUAAUGAUGGAAACGGUUGAGCUGAUAAUGCUACUGCAUUUGAUAUGACAAAAGACCAUAAAUCCAUUCAAAUUUAGCAAUAUUGGAAUAUCAUACAAGAAUUUGGAGGGUUCUUCAUCAACUUAGUAAUAGUUUGUGCUUGUAUGUGAACUAGAUUCACUGCACGUGUGUUGCACGUGUAGGUUAAAUCUCGAGAUCCCUAUACACGAGAUAUUUUAUUUUUUGCGUAUAUUUUAGGCUUUCAACAUAUCAAUAUGUAUUUAAUAUUGCACUACGCCAUACCAAGUGAAUGGACAAUCUAUUGCCUUCUUACUUGUUGGGCAUGUAGUGGCGAAGUCAUAUUCUUAAAUUGUUAUUAGGUAAGUUCUUAGUAAGUAAUUGUGCAAAAAUCAAUAGUUUGUCCUCUUAGUUAUGUCGUGUCAUAAACUGUAUGUUUUCUUUUAAUAUUUGAAAUUUAGUGUACCCUGUAUUUGAAUAACUUUAUAUACACAAAAGUAAUGUCUUCUGCGAUAGUUGUCUAGUGUUUUUCAUAUCGUCUUCUCUUUCACCAAACCUAAGAAUUCAUCCAAUAUAUAUAUAAUUUUCAUUAGCUACAUGUGUGGUGUAUGUUUUUUCUUGUUUGAUCUCUUAUAAUUUUGCUAUUAUCAAAUUUCAC
RNAcentral lists this long non-coding RNA (8452 nucleotides) under Solanum lycopersicum (tomato). Its description in RNAcentral is "partial TCONS_00171414". Lineage: Eukaryota; Viridiplantae; Streptophyta; Magnoliopsida; Solanales; Solanaceae. The record is from RNAcentral.